GACGAACGCUGGCGGCGUGCCUAAUACAUGCAAGUCGAGCGAAGCGGCGGAUGGGUGAGUAAAGCGUGGGUAACCUGCCCUUAAGUCUGGGAUACCAUUUGGAAACAGAUGCCAAUACCGGAUAAUAAAGGAGGGACCUGGGACGCAUUAGAUAGUGGGUAGGGUAACGGCUUACCAAGGCGAUGAUGCAUAGCCGGGUUUAGAGAAUGAUCGGCCACAUUGGGACUGAGACACGGCCCAGACUCUUACGGGAGGCAGCAGUGGGGAAUCUUGCACAAUGGACGAAAGUCUGAUGGAGCAACGCCGCGUGAGUGAAGAAGGUUUUCGGAUCGUAAAGCUCUGUUGUUGGUGAAGCGGUAAUCAACCAGAAAGUCACGGCUAACUACGUGCCAGCAGCCGCGGUAAUAC
This 408-nucleotide ribosomal RNA is filed under the name uncultured bacterium. RNAcentral's name for it is "partial 16S ribosomal RNA". It matches the Rfam family "Bacterial small subunit ribosomal RNA", at positions 28 to 526 of the family's 1533-position model. The record is from RNAcentral.